Non-coding RNA from Phrynosoma platyrhinos (Desert horned lizard), 72 nucleotides. The record is from the annotation of a GenBank genome assembly. Lineage: Eukaryota; Metazoa; Chordata; Lepidosauria; Squamata; Phrynosomatidae.
GUCAGCAUGGCGUAGUGGUUUGAACUUUGGACUAGGACUCUGAAGGAAAGGGUUUGAAUCCCCACGCCGCCA